AGUAACGCGUGGGUAACCUGCCUCACACAGGGGGAUAACAGUUAGAAAUGACUGCUAAUACCGCAUAACCCGAUAGGAUCGCAUGAUCCAGACGGAAAAGAUUUAUCGGUGUGAGAUGGACCCGCGUCUGAUUAGCUAGUUGGUGAGGUAACGGCCCACCAAGGCAACGAUCAGUAGCCGGCCUGAGAGGGUGAACGGCCACAUUGGGACUGAGACACGGCCCAA
Molecule: ribosomal RNA, 225 nt
Filed under: uncultured bacterium
Lineage: Bacteria
Description: partial 16S ribosomal RNA
Rfam family: Bacterial small subunit ribosomal RNA
Source: RNAcentral